CUCGGGAAACUGAGGAUAAAACUCGAUAGGAGAUGGUUUCUGGAAUGAGCUAUCUUUUAAAUUCGUGCUUAAGGAUGAGACUGCGGCUGAUUAGGUAGUUGUUGAGGUAACGGCCCAACAAGCCAAUGAUCAGUAAGGGCUCUUAGCGGAGGUGCCCUGAGAAGGACUCUUAGACACUAGUCCUAGCCCUACGGGGUGCAGCAGUUGGGAAUUUUUUGCAAUGCGCGCAAGCGUGACAAAGUGAACCAAAGUGUUUUUCUCUUUAGAAAAACUUUUGCCAGCUGUAAAAAGGCUGGCGAAUAAGGACUGGGCAAGACCGGUGCCAGCCGCCGCGGUAAUCCCGGCAGUCCAAGUCGCAGCCACAAUUAUUGGGUCUAAAAUAUCCGUAGCUUGCUUAAGAAGUUUCCUGUGAAAUCUUACAUCUUAAGUGUAAGGCGAGCAAGAAAUACUCUUGAGCUAGAGACUGGUAGGCGUAAGAAGUACAUUAGGGGUAGUGGUAAAAUAUUUUAAUCCCUGAUGGACUCACAGUCGCGAAGGCGUCUUACGAGAACAGUUCUGACAGUGAGGGAUGAAGGCUAGGGGCGCAAAAGGGAUUAGAUACCCCUGUAGUCCUAGCAGUAAACACUGCUCACUAAACAUUAGUACCUCCUCGAGAGGUAUUGGUGCUGUAGCGAAGGCGAAGAGUGAGCUACCUGGGAAGUAUAGUCGCAAGGCCGAAACUUAA
RNAcentral lists this ribosomal RNA (724 nucleotides) under uncultured archaeon. RNAcentral's name for it is "bacterial SSU rRNA". It matches the Rfam family "Archaeal small subunit ribosomal RNA", at positions 131 to 859 of the family's 1478-position model. The record is from RNAcentral.